Molecule: ribosomal RNA, 704 nt
Filed under: Rhodococcus sp. 309/d
Lineage: Bacteria; Bacillati; Actinomycetota; Actinomycetes; Mycobacteriales; Nocardiaceae
Description: bacterial SSU rRNA
Rfam family: Bacterial small subunit ribosomal RNA
Source: RNAcentral
GCGGUAAGGCCCUUUCGGGGGUACACGAGCGGCGAACGGGUGAGUAACACGUGGGUGAUCUGCCCUGCACUCUGGGAUAAGCCUGGGAAACUGGGUCUAAUACCGGAUAUGAGCUCCUGCCGCAUGGCGGGGGUUGGAAAGGUUUACUGGUGCAGGAUGGGCCCGCGGCCUAUCAGCUUGUUGGUGGGGUAAUGGCCUACCAAGGCGACGACGGGUAGCCGGCCUGAGAGGGCGACCGGCCACACUGGGACUGAGACACGGCCCAGACUCCUACGGGAGGCAGCAGUGGGGAAUAUUGCACAAUGGGCGAAAGCCUGAUGCAGCGACGCCGCGUGAGGGAUGACGGCCUUCGGGUUGUAAACCUCUUUCAGCAGGGACGAAGCGCAAGUGACGGUACCUGCAGAAGAAGCACCGGCCAACUACGUGCCAGCAGCCGCGGUAAUACGUAGGGUGCGAGCGUUGUCCGGAAUUACUGGGCGUAAAGAGCUCGUAGGCGGUUUGUCGCGUCGUCUGUGAAAACCCGCAGCUCAACUGCGGGCUUGCAGGCGAUACGGGCAGACUUGAGUACUGCAGGGGAGACUGGAAUUCCUGGUGUAGCGGUGAAAUGCGCAGAUAUCAGGAGGAACACCGGUGGCGAAGGCGGGUCUCUGGGCAGUAACUGACGCUGAGGAGCGAAAGCGUGGGUAGCGAACAGGAUUAGAUAC